GGUUAAGUGAAUAAGGGCGCACGGUGGAUGCCUUGGCACUAGGAGCCGAUGAAGGACGGGACUAACACCGAUAUGCUUUGGGGAGCUGUACGUAAGCUAUGAUCCAGAGAUUUCCGAAUGGGGGAACCCAGCAUCUUUUAUAGGAUGUUACGUUUGCGUGAAUACAUAGCGCAUUCGAGGUAGACGCAGAGAACUGAAACAUCUAAGUACCUGCAGGAAGAGAAAGAAAAUUCGAUUCCCUGAGUAGCGGCGAGCGAAACGGGAAAAGCCCAAACCAAUGAGCUUGCUCAUUGGGGUUGUAGGACUCCAAUAUGGUAGUUCUUUCAGAUAGUCGAAUGACUUGGAAAAGUCAGUCAAAGAGGGUAAAAACCCCGUAGAUGAAAUUUGGAAGGCACCUAGGAGGAUCCUGAGUACGGCGGAACACGAGGAAUUCCGUCGGAAUCCGGGAGGACCAUCUCCCAAGGCUAAAUACUCCCUAGUGACCGAUAGUGAACCAGUACCGUGAGGGAAAGGUGAAAAGCACCCCGGAAGGGGAGUGAAAUAGAACCUGAAACCGUGUGCCUACAACAAGUCAAAGCCCGUUAAUGGGUGAUGGCGUGCCUUUUGUAGAAUGAACCGGCGAGUUACGAUUGCAUGCGAGGUUAAGUUGAAGAGACGGAGCCGCAGCGAAAGCGAGUCUGAAUAGGGCGUUUGAGUAUGUAGUCGUAGACCCGAAACCAUGUGAUCUACCCAUGUCCAGGUUGAAGGUGCGGUAAAACGCACUGGAGGACCGAACCCACGUACGUUGAAAAGUGCGGGGAUGAGGUGUGGGUAGCGGAGAAAUUCCAAACGAACUUGGAGAUAGCUGGUUCUCUCCGAAAUAGCUUUAGGGCUAGCCUCGGAAUUGAGAAUGAUGGAGGUAGAGCACUGUUUGGACUAGGGGCCCAUCUCGGGUUACCGAAUUCAGAUAAACUCCGAAUGCCAUUCAUUCAUAUCCGGGAGUCAGACUGUGAGUGAUAAGAUCCAUAGUCGAAAGGGAAACAGCCCAGACCACCAGCUAAGGUCCCAAAAUAUAUGUUAAGUGGAAAAGGAUGUGGGGUUGCACAGACAACUAGGAUGUUGGCUUAGAAGCAGCCACCAUUUAAAGAGUGCGUAAUAGCUCACUAGUCGAGUGACCCUGCGCCGAAAAUGUACCGGGGCUAAACAUAUUACCGAAGCUGUGGAGUACACCUUUAGGUGUAUUGGUAGGAGAGCGUUCUAAGGGCGUUGAAGGCAGAUCGUGAGGACUGCUGGAGCGCUUAGAAGUGAGAAUGCCGGUAUGAGUAGCGAAAGACAGGUGAGAAUCCUGUCCACCGAAUGACUAAGGUUUCCUGGGGAAGGCUCGUCCGCCCAGGGUUAGUCGGGACCUAAGCCGAGGCCGACAGGCGUAGGCGAUGGACAACAGGUUGAUAUUCCUGUACUCGUUGUUUUUGUUUGAGCAAUGGAGGGACGCAGGAGGCUAAGGAAUGCAGACGAUUGGAAAUGUCUGUCUAAGCAGUAAGUCUUGAUAGGAGUCAAAUGCUUCU
RNAcentral lists this ribosomal RNA (1544 nucleotides) under Enterococcus hirae. RNAcentral describes it as "partial 23S ribosomal RNA". It matches the Rfam family "Bacterial large subunit ribosomal RNA", at positions 1 to 1547 of the family's 2925-position model. RNAcentral also lists the same sequence under 2 other names. The record is from RNAcentral. Lineage: Bacteria; Bacillati; Bacillota; Bacilli; Lactobacillales; Enterococcaceae.